This 1171-nucleotide long non-coding RNA is filed under the name Marmota monax (woodchuck). Lineage: Eukaryota; Metazoa; Chordata; Mammalia; Rodentia; Sciuridae. The record is from RNAcentral.
CUCCUGCAGGCUAUGCAAGGGCUCCACCACCAAAUUACCGCCCCCCCAGCCCUAUGUUUAAAAAAACUCAGAUUAAGACCUAGACUUUCCUUUCUCCCCCUUCUUCCCACCCCAACCCCACUCCCUACCCCCAGGUUAAGCAAGAAGCUUCUGGGGAAACAUUCUCUCUCAGAGUGUUUGCCCAGGCUUCUGGAGACCCAGCCCACUUGGCCAAGUUUCUGUUUCAGUGGAAACUCUCAGUGUUUCCAUUGUCUGACUUGAGAGUCUUCAAAUUACUCUUCUUAAUUAAGUGGCCUGGGUGUUAUUUUGACAGAGCCUCAGCCCAGAGAUUUUCUUCACCUCUGUGUUUUAGAAGCCAAAAAUGAAAGGGGUUUAGAGAGAGGGCAGAUCGAGGGCCUUGCAGUGUGUACAUCUGAAAGGCAGCCAUUCUGCUGGUAGAAAUGACAGUGGGCCCCAAGGUAGGCCUGACUUCCCACACCGAGGUUCCUUAGAAUCUUAAAGGCCAGCAAGAACUUUUUGCAGAAGUAGCUGUCUGGGUUUCAAGGUGAGUCAAAUAACAUCUCUUGCCUAAGUACCUGGUGGUGGCUUCACAAAUAGACAUUUGUCCUCUCAACUAAGACAUGCAUUCUUACUGUGUGCCAGGGGCUGGGGGUAGAGAACAGGCAAGCGACAAGGCCCUUCCUCAAGGGACUUAUGAUGGGUCUGGGGCAGACAGAACAAAUUAGUGAACCAACAAUUAAGCAAGGUAAUACCAGAGAAUGGUAGGUGCCAGGGAGCAAAUAAUGCAAAUGUAAAAGGAAAGGCAGUGGUGUGGGGGAGGGAACAGGUCUAGACAUGUGGCCAUUUGGAGAUGGUGACAUUGGAACUGAGACCUUACCAAACAUCUUCCGUGGUUUUAGUGGCCCCCAAUGGUCCAUGUGAAGACCAUCACCCUGGUCUUCAGGGUGAUGGUAUUGCAAAGUGGUGGAACAACAGGUUGAAGGUCUUUUGAUUAUUAGGGGUGCUGCCCUCCAAAGGGAUUCAAGAAGUUUUCCUGUGACUAUCUUGGUAGUUCUCUGUGGAAGAUUAUUAUAAAGAGAACAAAACCUGACCCUGCCCUCUCUCUGCUUCCUGAUUUGGGAUGUGACCACCACAUCUUAUUCCUGCACAGUCUCCCACUGUGAUAUGAUAU